UAGCUGUUCGGCCCUGGGAUCCGCCGCGACUCCGCGAUCAGCUGGCUCUGAGCCACUAGCCCCGUGAGCACUCGGAUUCCAGCCGGCGCCAACGCGCCUGGGGGCAUAGCCCGCAGCUGCCAGGCUCACGGCCGGCUGAGCGGGACCCCGCCUCUGCCUCAGCCACCAUCGCCGCCGCCGCCUCCUCUUCCUCAGCCGGCGGCGGCCCGGGCCCAGCAACCGUGGCCGAAGACUACUGGGACCCGCGCCUGCGACGAACAGAAGAAGGAGAUCGCGCGGCCUCACCCCGGGCCGCCGCCCCAGGCGUCGCCUCGUCGGCCCCACAGCUCUGAGGUUGCUCGAGCGCCCCCGCCGAUCGCCAUGGAUCGGAUGAAGAAGAUCAAACGGCAGCUGUCAAUGACACUCCGAGGUAGCCGAAGCAUAGACAAGACCAAUGGUGCCACUGAGCAGAUAGGCCUGGAUGAGAGUGGUGGUGGUGGUGGCAGUGACCCUGGAGAGGCCCCCACACGUGCUGCUCGUGGGGAACUUCGCUCUGCACCAGAGACUGUGCACGAGGACUUGAAGAUGGGGUCUGAUGGGGAGAGUGACCAGGCUUCAGCCACAUCCUCGGAUGAGGUGCAAUCUCCAGCGAGACUGCGCAUGCAAAACCAUCCCCCAUGCAAGAUCUCCACCGAGGACAUCCACAAACACCUAUCGCUACCAGCUGACAUCCGGCUACCUGAGGGCUACCUUGAGAAGCUGACCCUCAAUAGCCCCAUCUUUGACAAGCCACUCAGCCGCCGCCUCCGUUGUGUCAUCCUGUCUGAGAUUGGCUUUGGGAAACUGGAGACUUACAUUAAGCUGGACAAGCUGGGCGAGGGUACCUAUGCCACCGUCUACAAAGGCAAAAGCAAGCUCACAGACCACCUUGUGGCGCUGAAGGAGAUCAGACUGGCACAUGAAGAGGGGACACCAUGCACUGCCAUCCGGGAAGUGUCUCUGCUCAAGGAUCUCAAACACGCAAACAUUGUUACGCUGCAUGACAUUAUCCACACGGAGAAGUCCUUCACCCUUGUCUUUGAGUACCUGGACAAGGACCUGAAGCAGUACCUGGAUGAUUGUGGGAACAUCAUCAACAUGCACAACGUGAAGCUGUUCCUGUUCCAGCUGCUCCGAGGCCUGGCCUACUGCCACCGGCAGGAGGUGCUACACAGAGACCUCAAGCCCCAGAACCUGCUCAUCAACGAGAGAGGAGAGCUCAAGCUGGCUGACUUUGGUCUGGCCCGGGCCAAGUCAAUCCCAACAAAGACGUACUCCAAUGAGGUGGUGACACUGUGGUACCGUCCCCCUGACAUCCUGCUUGGGUCCACGGACUACUCCACUCAGAUUGACAUGUGGGGUGUGGGCUGCAUCUUCUAUGAGAUGGCCACAGGCCAGCCCCUCUUCCCGGGCUCCACGGUGGAGGAACAACUGCAUUUCAUCUUCCGCAUCUUAGGAACCCCAACUGAGGAGACGUGGCCAGGCAUCCUGUCCAAUGAGGAGUUCAAGACCUACAACUACCCCAAGUACCGACCCGAGGCCCUUUUGAGCCAUGCACCCCGACUUGAUAGUGACGGGGCUGACCUCCUUACCAAGCUGCUGCAGUUUGAAGGUCGAAAUCGGAUAUCCGCAGAGGAUGCCAUGAAACAUCCAUUCUUCCUCAGUCUGGGGGCGCGGAUCCACAAACUUCCUGACACUACUUCCAUAUUUGCACUAAAGGAGAUUCAGCUACAAAAGGAGGCCAGCCUUCGGUCUUCAUCAAUGCCUGACUCAGGCAGGUCAGCUUUCAGCAUGGUGGACACCCAGUUCUAAAUCACAGACCGAGGCCCCAGCAGGCAGUGGCUGGAGGGAUGCCACACCCUUCACAGGGCAGCCCCCAACUACAUCUUCCCUGCUUACUCUCUGCCUACCUGCCUGACCCAUGUUCGCCUGCCCGCUUGUCCCCUGCUGCCUGCCCAAACACCCGACUAUUAGCCUGUCAACCCACCCAUUGGCCUGUCUGCUGGGUUUUAACAUAGCACUCAUCACUCC
This is an RNA transcript of Sapajus apella (tufted capuchin), 2049 nucleotides long. It is a transcript of the gene named cyclin-dependent kinase 16 pseudogene, with no coding region annotated. The record is from RefSeq and is a predicted model, not a curated record. The transcript has a single exon. Lineage: Eukaryota; Metazoa; Chordata; Mammalia; Primates; Cebidae.